This 408-nucleotide ribosomal RNA is filed under the name uncultured bacterium. Its description in RNAcentral is "partial 16S ribosomal RNA". It matches the Rfam family "Bacterial small subunit ribosomal RNA", at positions 28 to 526 of the family's 1533-position model. The record is from RNAcentral.
GACGAACGCUGGCGGCGUGCCUAAUACAUGCAAGUCGAGCGAAGCGGCGGAUGGGUGAGUAACGCGUGGGUAACCUGCCCUUGAGUCUGGGAUUCCAUUCGGAAACAUAUUCUCAUACCGGAUACUAAAGGAUGGAUCUGCGAUGCAUUAGCUAUUUGGUAAGGUAAAGGCUUAACAAGGCGAUGAUGCUGAGCCGGUUUGAUAGACUGAUCGGCCACAGUGGGACUGAGACACGGCCCAAACUCCUACGGGAGGCAGCAGUAGGGAAUCUUCCACAAUGGGCGAAAGUCUGAUAGAGCAACGCCGCGUGAGUGAAGAAGGUUUUCGGAUCGUAAAGCUCUGUUGUUGGUGAAGCGGUAAUCAACCAGAAAGUCACGGCUAACUACGUGCCAGCCGCCGGGGUAAUAC